This is a long non-coding RNA of Agrilus planipennis (emerald ash borer), 860 nucleotides long. RefSeq lists it as uncharacterized. The record is from RefSeq and is a predicted model, not a curated record. The transcript is spliced from 3 exons. NCBI's taxonomy places the organism in Eukaryota, Metazoa, Arthropoda, Insecta, Coleoptera, Buprestidae.
UGAAAGAAUUGAUUUUGUGAAGCAUAUAACAGAUCUGGAGAAAUCGGAUAAUCUGCUGCUAGCAAAUCACAUAUACUCAUAUCAGAAGAUCCUAGAAUCGUAAUUAAUAUCAUAUUUUGUAACUAACGAAAGAGUUAAUUCUGUUGAGCCUGUUUAUGCCGGAAAAUCGGAAGAACUGCAGCUGGUUUUUUGAUAUCAUGCUAACAGAUCUAGAUAUUUUACGACCUAUGAUUUAUUCACUUUUGCGAGUAUAAGAACAAAAAAACGGGAACAUUUGCAAUAGAAAACAGUGAUCACGUUACAGUUUAAGAUAACUAAUCUAAUAAAAAGGUCACAAUAACGAAUCAUACUGUGAUUGAAAAACCACGACAUUGACCAACACUAAACAGAUCACAUAUUCGUUUCAGUUGAUCGUGGACUGAUUGACAUUAUAUUUUGUAGUCCAUGUGUAGCGAAAAAAUUAAUUUAAAAACACAAAUAUAACUUCGACUUUUAUUUCUUGUAUCUUUAUUUAUGUUUUCUACUCUAUAUCAGUUCAUUCAAUAUGCAAUAUCACCAAUGCUAAUUAUCUUAUAGUCCGUUUCAAUUUCGAUUGGUGGUCGUCUGUCAUCAAUACCACUGAAUACACCACGGAAUGAAUGAACUAGGUCGAAGCACACCAACAAACACCCUGUAAAUAGUCGAACAAAUCUGUCUGCUACAAGGACUCAGUUUCCGUUUAUCUCUGAUGCGAGUGUCCCAGAUGCUGCAAUGGGGAUCCGGCGAUCAAUUAAAUCAGGGCUCAUGUCCACUUAAUUAGCUGUUAAAGAAAGGGGAAGAAUGGCAUUGGAAGGAAAUGGAGCAAUCGACAUUUGAAAAGC